UAUCACUCAGCUUUGCAAUCGGGCGCCUUCCGCGUCCGAGUUGUAAUUUGAAGAAGGUAUCUUUGGUUUUGGCUCUUGUCUAUGUUCCUUGGAACAGGACGUCACAGAGGGUGAGAAUCCCGUGCGAUGAGAUGCCCAAUUCCAUGUAAAGUUCCUUCGACGAGUCGAGUUGUUUGGGAAUGCAGCUCUAAGUGGGUGGUAAAUUCCAUCUAAAGCUAAAUAUUGGCGAGAGACCGAUAGCGAACAAGUACUGUGAAGGAAAGAUGAAAAGAACUUUGAAAAGAGAGUGAAAAAGUACGUGAAAUUGUUGAAAGGGAAGGGCUUGAGGUCAGACUUGGUUUUACCAGGCCAGCAUCAGUUUGGGUGGCAGGAUAAGUGCGUAGGAAAGUGGCUCCACCUCGGUGGAGUGUUAUAGCCUGCGUCGAUACUGCCUGCCUAGACUGAGGACUGCGUCUUUGACUAGGAUGCUGGCAUAAUGACCUUAAGCC
Molecule: ribosomal RNA, 488 nt
Filed under: Yamadazyma scolyti
Lineage: Eukaryota; Fungi; Ascomycota; Pichiomycetes; Serinales; Debaryomycetaceae
Description: eukaryotic LSU rRNA
Rfam family: Eukaryotic large subunit ribosomal RNA
Source: RNAcentral